UAAAGGAGCCUAAAAUAUCCUAUGUUCUCAAGGAACUUCAACAUGUAUUUCAAGACCUAACUCUUAUGAUGGGGUUACUGAAGGAACUGCUGACAGUCGUGCAGGAACUUUAAAAAGGAAGCUUCUCAGAGAACCCCAAACAAUGCCUUGAGAAUCUUUGAAUUUUUACAGUGGAUGGCAAUCCAUGCCUCAGAUUCUGUAUAACUGAUUCAUGACAUUUACUCUUGUAAAGACUCACUAAAGCCCCAUAACCAUGCAGAUCAUAGAAGGCUAGCAGCAUCCCAGCAAACACAGAUCUACCCUCUUAGGUUAGCAUGUGGUUCCCGUUUUAAGACUGGUCUCUGUAGAUUUAGGUUUUUUAUUAACAUAAACUAAUAUUCCCAGAAUGUUAAAGGGAGGUUUUUGUGUGACAACCUAAAAAGAACUUAUACAGAACAUUUUAAUAACCAAAAACUAACAUUCCCAGAACGUUCUGGGAACCAAAAACUGUUAGUUGUGAUAAGCAAUCAUCUGAUUUUCACACAUUUGUGAUUUUAGGUAUGUUUGCUAUUAAAUUAACAAAUGUCUCUCUCUUACUUAGCAUCAGGUCAUGACAACAACAAUACAACCAUACUCUAUGGAAAUGUCUUGACCAGAGAAACUUUGCUGGGCAUAUAUCUAACAGUACCUGCAACAUUUACUUCCGCUUUCAUUUUGCUUGAUUUUGGGGUUCUCAGUGACCACUGUUGAUACCAAGGCAACAUUUGGUACAAAGUUUUGACUGAUUAUACAUGAUAAUAAUUCUAGUUUAGCUGCACAAGAAGUCUAACUGUUAACUUUCGAUACCUGGAUGUUACAUUUAUGUUUGGCUGUUUCUGGUUGCUGUUUUUGCCAGAGAAAUACUUGGAGUGAGAGUGGAGACGGGCUUAUACAGUCGAGUUGAGCUCACUGGUGAGAAACUCAAUCAAAAUACUACUGAUUACCUGCAGUCAGUGGAAUGGACUGAACUAAACAGAUCAUCUAUGUGUCUAUGUCUUCGGUUUCAAAAAUACAAUGGUACCAAAAUCUACAGUCGAUGCUGUGGGAAGACUCAUUUCUUUUUUUUUUUCUCUUUUUUUUGUUCAAUCAAUUUUAUUGAUUCCAAAGAUAAAAUAUACAAACACAACAUAAAAAAUGGAAUCAAUUAUUCACAUUACCAAUCAUGACUCUGGCUAGGACCCAACUUUUUAAAUAACUGUCCCCAAUAUCCAGUGUCAUCCCAUCACCCAAGAUACAGAGUCUGGGGCCAAAUGAAAGAUCAGUGUUCAACACCUCACACAUAAAGUUCUGAACCCCCAACCAAAAUUCUUCGCAAAGUGCGCAGAGCUCGUCACUCACACGUCCGCUCCUCGCAUGGCGUCACGUGACUCCUCGGGAAGACUCAUUUCUAUUUAAACAACAACAGCCUUAUUUUGGAGAAUGUGACCGCACAGAACGAAGGAGUCUACACGGAAACUAUAGUUACUACAGAUACUCAAUCAGGAACCAGACUCUACACAUCACCAAUAUAACCAGCUCAGAUUAUGGGACAUAGAGCUGUUUGGUUACAAAUCUAUAUGGAGAAUCAGAAAAGCACACAUAUUACCCGUAAGUAUACAUCACUUAGAUGAGUAUUAAUUGCAAAUAUUAGCUUUAUCUUCAAAAUUGAUAUCAGAGCUGAUUUUGGGGAGACAGUAUAUUAAACUAUAAUUAAACAUCUGUGUUUAAUCUAAAGACAUUUUGUGAGACAUUGCUUACAGGAAUCGUACAGGAACAGGAUAAUGAAACAGGAAAAAUCCUUAUAGUGUUAUACUUCCACUUUGUUUACCUUUAAGGUGAAAACUCAACUCUGCACCAAGAAAAUGGUAUUGUAGUUUGGACGAAUAAUGCUCUACUUCUCCGUGGACUUACAUUUAUAGGCAUUUUAGGACUGUGCAACAUAGUAUUCUAUGGAAUAUACAAAUACCGUUGCAAUAAGAUUUCGACGUUCUUUUUUUCAGUCAAGUACAAUAGUAGUAUUCAAAAAUACUACUUUGGCAAAUUAUGAUCUUUGUGUUUGACUGCCUUUUUUAAGUUUUGAUUAAUUCUGACUAUCAAAUCAUUAUUAGAGUGUCAUAAUCUGAACAUCUCACCCAAGUGUUCUCAUGUCACUGUCACAGAUAAACAACAGGCAUGGAAAGGACAGGUAAUACAAGCAAUCACAGUAAUCAGGUUACGACCACCUAGCUACAUAAUUUAUGUUUACAUAUGCUGCUGUGCUACUGCUAUUCUGUAUGUCUAUACUAUUCCUUUUCCACACCUUUGCAGGUUGAUUGAAGCCGCUAAAAGAGUCUUCCCUGUGAUUGGUGCAGUGAGGGGGAUGAAGACAAUGGGAGAGUAUGCAAACUGAUCUACUACAUAGUCAACAGGAUUAAUGAGACUAUUGAGCACUGAUAGAUGCCAUUGUGUUAAAAUGUGUUGCGCUUGAUGUUGAGUGAAUGGGUUGGAUGCAGGUGCAGUCUGUGCUCACUGCAAAUAGUGAUGAUAUAAUUGCAUGAUUCUUGGCAUACACUUCUAAUCUUUCCAUAAUGUACAGUAUAUGACUUAUUGAAAUGAUCUACUGACUUUGUGCUUAUAUGUUAAGAUGUUAUUUGCCAGAGAAUGUAAAUUAGGGCAUCUGGUAUAUGUUAGGCCUAGUUGACCCAUAUUAUGUCCAUAUCCAUGUUUUUAUUUUUU
Molecule: long non-coding RNA, 2712 nt
Organism: Myxocyprinus asiaticus (Chinese sucker)
Lineage: Eukaryota; Metazoa; Chordata; Actinopteri; Cypriniformes; Catostomidae
Exons: 2
Source: RefSeq, a predicted model, not a curated record